CUAAUAAUUAUUGUUUUAUUGAGUUAUGAAAUAGUGUCUCUAGAGAUGUCUCCCUUGAAAUGUCCCCCAGGAGACCUUUAACACUUUCAAAUGUUCCAAGAAGUCCUGCGUCACUUAGGAAAUCACAUGUAUUUUCCCAUUUACCUCUUGCUUAGCAUGUGGGUGGUGUCGUUGUUGUCAUGUGACAUAAAACCCAGAGACAGAUUUCCACAGUGACGCAUGAAAGACCGCAAAAUAUUAUAUUUUAUACCAUGUUUUGUCCGCAGGAUACAGAGAAGGAUGGAACUCAUCUCAGACGAAGGGGACCGAGUCGUUUGAAUGGAAAUCACUGACUGAAUUGUGAUGCUGUAUCUCAACAUUCUCACCACUUCAGCAAACAAAAAAAGAAAAGGUUUAUAAAGAAGAAGAGUUGGGGCAUGGACAUAUAAAAUGGAUGAGAGCUGUCAUUCGACACACAAUCACUGAGCUCUUUGGGCUCCAUAAGACAUUUACAGUACAGGAGCAGAAAGGAGGUCUAUCAAACC
This is a long non-coding RNA of Gasterosteus aculeatus aculeatus (three-spined stickleback), 524 nucleotides long. NCBI's taxonomy places the organism in Eukaryota, Metazoa, Chordata, Actinopteri, Perciformes, Gasterosteidae. The record is from Ensembl.